GCAGGGAAACAGAUAGACCCACGAAGUCUUGUUGGUUAAUGUGUUCAAUCAUUGUUGGUAUUAUGCAUGGGAUCAUCUAUGAGGAUUCGAUGAAGUAAAAUUCAUCUUCCUUAUACCCAACUGAUGUCCAACCAAUGAUCCAUUUCACAUUACCACACUGGAGCUCUGACCUCUAGACAGUUGAGAUGUAUAUAGUGUUGUUCUUAGUGUUAGUAUACUGUAUAGCUUCUGUCAAAAGUUGCUACUAUACUUAGCUUUGAACAUGAUCUAUACAUCUAUCGUUUAGAGGGUGAUCAAUAACACUCUUAACGAGUGUUGUCAGAUUGGUUGUAUGCAUGGGCGGUUGAAUUGAGCUUAUCACUCUUUAUGCCUAUCGACUCUUGUAGUUGAUUUCAUUUAGAGUAACGGUACUCACUUGACUUCCCCUCUGUAUACAGCAUGACAAU
This 446-nucleotide ribosomal RNA is filed under the name Hygrobates marezaensis. Its description in RNAcentral is "partial large subunit ribosomal RNA". The record is from RNAcentral. Lineage: Eukaryota; Metazoa; Arthropoda; Arachnida; Trombidiformes; Hygrobatidae.